RNAcentral lists this unclassified non-coding RNA (103 nucleotides) under synthetic construct. RNAcentral's name for it is "crRNA-linker-target hairpin RNA from synthetic construct (PDB 8FTI, chain B)". The record is from RNAcentral.
GGAAGAAGAGUUUAUUCAGAUAGAUUUGUCCUUCUUCGGACAAAUCUAUCUGAAUAAACUCUUCUUCGCUGGAGCAGCCCCCGAUUUGUGGGGUGAUUACAGC